AGGACGAACGCUGGCGGCGUGCUUAACGCAUGCAAGUCGAGCGGUAAGGCCUUUCGGGGUACACGAGCGGCGAACGGGUGAGUAACACGUGGGUGAUCUGCCCUGCACUUCGGGAUAAGCCUGGGAAACUGGGUCUAAUACCGGAUAUAGACCUCCUAUCGCAUGGUGGUGGUGGAAAGAUUUAUCGGUGACAGGGAUGGGCCCGCGGCCUAUCAGCUUGUUGGUGGGUAAUGGCCUACCGAAGGCGACGACGGGUAGCCGGACCUGGAAGAGGGUACGACCGGCCACACGUGGGACUGGAGACACGGCCCAGACCUCCGUACGGGAGCAGCAGGUAGGGAAUAGUUGCACAAGUGGACGAAAGCCGUGAUGCGAGCGACGCG
This 383-nucleotide ribosomal RNA is filed under the name uncultured soil bacterium. RNAcentral's name for it is "bacterial SSU rRNA". It matches the Rfam family "Bacterial small subunit ribosomal RNA", at positions 26 to 398 of the family's 1533-position model. The record is from RNAcentral.